Molecule: ribosomal RNA, 423 nt
Filed under: uncultured Entoloma
Lineage: Eukaryota; Fungi; Basidiomycota; Agaricomycetes; Agaricales; Entolomataceae
Description: eukaryotic LSU rRNA
Rfam family: 5.8S ribosomal RNA (bases 94-247)
Source: RNAcentral
UUCUUGCAUUUUGGGUCUAUGUUUUAAACACAUACUCUAUAAACAAGUAAUAGAAUGUUAAUUAUUGGCCUUUUGUGCCUUUAAACCUAAUACAACUUUCAACAACGGAUCUCUUGGCUCUCGCAUCGAUGAAGAACGCAGCGAAAUGCGAUAAGUAAUGUGAAUUGCAGAAUUCAGUGAAUCAUCGAAUCUUUGAACGCACCUUGCGCUCCUUGGUAUUCCGAGGAGCAUGCCUGUUUGAGUGUCAUGAAAUUCUCAACCUUUCUGGCUUUUAUAAGUUGGUCAGGCUUGGAUUGUGGGAGUUGCUGGCUUUCUAUUGAAAUCAGCUCUUCUUAAAUGCAUUAGCAAAAAUUCUUGCUGGACCAUCUUUGGUAUGAUAAUUAUCUAUAUCAUUGAGAACACAGCUUCCACUAUCAGCGGAUU